This is a non-coding RNA of Pangasius djambal, 72 nucleotides long. The record is from the annotation of a GenBank genome assembly. Lineage: Eukaryota; Metazoa; Chordata; Actinopteri; Siluriformes; Pangasiidae.
UCCCUGGUGGAUUAGUGGCUAGCAUGCGGCGCUGUCAUUCCCAGGGCCCAGGCUCGAUUCCUGGUCAGAGAA